AAAAUAGAUAGACGGAGGGAGGGGGGAUAGACGAGAAACAGAGAGAGAACGAGAGAAAAAGAAUAAGGGACUGGGCAUCUCCUUCCUCACAAAAAAUCAGUUCCAAUUUCCUCUCUUAGACCAUGUAAAUUACCACCAAAAGUCAUCUCUUUUCUCUUCCUAAGAUCUAGAUCCAAGAGAUAAAAGCAAAGUUGCUUACCUUCUUCUCCUUCCUAAAAAAUACCAUGGCUGAAACUUACCUUCCUCCUUCAAAAUUCAGCAGUUAAAACCACCUGAAAUACCUCAAAAACCAGCUGAAAAAUAGUUCCAAAACAGCUACGAAUCUACAAAAAAGCAGCUCGAAAAAGUCCCUAAACUCACCCAACAACGUCACUCAAAACCAGCUCCCAAAAGCCAUAAAAAUCAGCCUCAAAUCCCACCCAAUAUAGUCCCACAAAGCCUUUAUUAAAGCAUCUCUAGAAUAGCUGUAAAACCAGUUGUUUUCCUCCAUGAAAUCUAGCUGAAAAUUCACAAAAUCAUGCUUAAAUCAGUAGUAAAUCACCUGUUUCAGCCAUGAAAAACUAGUAACAUUAGCUCCAAAAAUAUCAUCCCCAAAGCUACCACUAAAACGAACAGCUCAGUACUUCCUCAAUCAAAGUCUAGCCGAAUUUCGAGGUCUAAGAGCUCGUUCGCGUCGAGUUAGCGAGGUUGCAUGCUCCAAGUUCUGUCCGCGGUCUUUCCCGAGCAUUAGGAGUUUGUUCUCGUUUAACUAAGGUACAUGCCUUGAGAAUUGUCUGAUGUAACUUCUCAAGUUGAAAGUGAAAUGAAAUUAGUGCCUGAUUUCUGUUGUAGAUUUUGCUGUUUCAACAUCCUAUUAUACUUUGAGUAGUUCCAUGAUUUAGUUGAUAUAUUCAUUGUAAUAGAACCUGGACUGUAUUGGACUGUGGUAAUUAAACUGCCUAGAUUGCUUUUUGUUUUAGUUUGUAUUACUGAAACCGUUUAAGACAGUUGUUUAGUAUAGUUCAGUAUAAAUUCAAUUUCA
Long non-coding RNA from Nicotiana attenuata, 1021 nucleotides. RefSeq lists it as uncharacterized. The record is from RefSeq and is a predicted model, not a curated record. The transcript is spliced from 2 exons. Lineage: Eukaryota; Viridiplantae; Streptophyta; Magnoliopsida; Solanales; Solanaceae.